This is a long non-coding RNA of Alosa sapidissima (American shad), 93 nucleotides long. RefSeq lists it as uncharacterized. NCBI's taxonomy places the organism in Eukaryota, Metazoa, Chordata, Actinopteri, Clupeiformes, Clupeidae. The transcript is spliced from 3 exons. The record is from RefSeq and is a predicted model, not a curated record.
UGUGUGUAUAUUGCAGAGAUGGCAAAAGUACUCAAUUCCCGUACUCAAGUAGAAGUACAAAUACUCGUGUUAAAAAAUACUCUGGUAAAAGUG